AACGAACGCUGGCGGCGUGCUUAACACAUAGCAAGUCGAACGGCGAAAGGGAACUUCGGUCCUGAGUAAAGUGGCGCACGGUGAGUAACGCGUAGAUAACCUGUCUUCAUGUCUGGAAUAAUACGCCGAAAGGGGUACUAAUACCGGAUAUUCUUGCUUUUCAUAAGUUAUGCAAGCAAAGGUGGCCUCUGCAUAUGCUACUGCAUGAAGAGGGGUCUGCGUACCAUUAGCUAGUAGGUGGGGUAAUGGCCUACCUAGGCGACGAUGGUUAGCGGGUCUGAGAGGAUGAUCCGCCACACUGGCACUGGAACACGGGCCAGACUCCUACGGGAGGCAGCAGUGAGGAAUAUUGCGCAAUGGGGGAAACCCUGACGCAGCGACGCCGCGUGAGUGAGGGAAAGGCCUUCGGGUCGUAAAGCUCUGUCAAGAGGAAAGAAGUGUACAAUGGCUAAUACCUGUUGUAUUUGACGGUACCUCUAAAGGAAGCACCGGCUAACUCCGUGCCAGCAGCUGC
Molecule: ribosomal RNA, 514 nt
Filed under: uncultured bacterium
Lineage: Bacteria
Description: bacterial SSU rRNA
Rfam family: Bacterial small subunit ribosomal RNA
Source: RNAcentral